This 927-nucleotide ribosomal RNA is filed under the name human gut metagenome. RNAcentral's name for it is "bacterial SSU rRNA". It matches the Rfam family "Bacterial small subunit ribosomal RNA", at positions 11 to 926 of the family's 1533-position model. The record is from RNAcentral.
GUUUGAUCCUGGCUCAGGAUGAACGCUGGCGGCAUGCCUAAUACAUGCAAGUCGAACGAGAGGAAGGAAAGCUUGCUUUUCUGAAUCUAGUGGCGAACGGGUGAGUAACACGUAGGUAACCUGCCCAUGUGCCCGGGAUAACUUCUGGAAACGGAUGCUAAAACCGGAUAGGUAGCAGACAAGCAUUUGACUGCUAUUAAAGUGGCUAAGGCCAUGAACAUGGAUGGACCUGCGGUGCAUUAGCUAGUUGGUGAGGUAACGGCCCACCAAGGCGACGAUGCAUAGCCGGCCUGAGAGGGCGGACGGCCACAUUGGGACUGAGACACGGCCCAAACUCCUACGGGAGGCAGCAGUAGGGAAUUUUCGUCAAUGGGGGGAACCCUGAACGAGCAAUGCCGCGUGAGUGAAGAAGGUCUUCGGAUCGUAAAGCUCUGUUGUAAGAGAAAAACGGCACUCAUAGGGAAUGAUGAGUGAGUGAUGGUAUCUUACCAGAAAGUCACGGCUAACUACGUGCCAGCAGCCGCGGUAAUACGUAGGUGGCGAGCGUUAUCCGGAAUGAUUGGGCGUAAAGGGUGCGUAGGUGGCAGAUCAAGUCUGGAGUAAAAGGUAUGGGCUCAACCCGUACUGGCUCUGGAAACUGAUCAGCUAGAGAACAGAAGAGGACGGCGGAACUCCAUGUGUAGCGGUAAAAUGCGUAGAUAUAUGGAAGAACACCGGUGGCGAAGGCGGCCGUCUGGUCUGUUGCUGACACUGAAGCACGAAAGCGUGGGGAGCAAAUAGGAUUAGAUACCCUAGUAGUCCACGCCGUAAACGAUGAGAACUAGGUGUUGGGGGAAUAACUCAGUGCCGCAGUUAACGCAGUAAGUUCUCCGCCUGGGGAGUAUGCACGCAAGUGUGAAACUCAAAGGAAUUGACGGGGGCCCGCAC